GUGAUUCCAAGUGCGGCCACGUGGCCUAUCAGAAGCCCCUAGAGGGCUUGUUACAGCACCGUGUGCCAGCCCCACCCGCAGGGCACUGGGGGUGGGGCAGGGCCCGGGGAAUUCGCAUUUCAAACAGGCUGCAGGGUGAGGCACACUGUGAAAUGGACGCAGAUCAGGUUGGGGAUGCGUGGAAGGUGAAGGGGUUGAGGGAGAAAUCCCCGCUUUCUCCCCGCCCCCACAGCCCCGAAUUAAACACAGGACAGCUGGGUAUGAACUCUACCCGUGUAGUGUUUUCAUUAUGUUCCGUCUGCAGGAGAGGGAUCAGGCUGGUUGACAUUUGUGGAGAAGCUGAGCUGUGGCGUGAGCCUCCCUCAGAGAAGGCAGGGAUAAAUCGUCACCAUCUUGGCAGAUCCCCAGGAAAAGCAAUGAAGAGGCGCCACCUGCACUAGGGUCUCUUGGGCAGCGUGGGGACAAAACCUGACUCCCUUACCUUCGUGCUAGCCCUGGCCUCCCUGCCUGCAUUUUCUUAGGAGCAGAUGCUUUCCUUCAGGAUUUGAUUUCACUGCCACUUGCCCCCAAACUCCCCUAGUUGGGAGGGGAAUGGGGAGCCGAGAGACACGUGUUCAGCGCGCUUUUCAGUCACCCUGAGUUCAUUUAUUCAACAAAUACACACAGCGGCUCUCGGAGGGCACAGGGAGUUGUGUCUGUUUUGUGUUUCCUGCGCGGAAUGAAAUAAAGCGUUGCCAAUAUCGACAGCGGCUUCCUGAGCACAUCUGCCGUCUCUACUCCAGACGUAAGCAGCAAAUGGAACUUGAUGACCGUCAUUUCUAUAAGGACCCUUUUGUUUUUAUGACCUCGUUGUGUCUGGCUCCGUAAACUUCGGUGAGGUACCUCCCCGUGACCCUGCCAUCUGGCUGCGGCUGCCCUUGACCUCAACCGCGUGUUUGUCAGGCUCCCAUCAUUGGCAUCUGGGUCCUGCCUCGUGCUUCUUUCCCGUUGUUUGGGCAGCACAAGGAACUGAUCCACCUCUCUGCUAAACCCAAUCCGUGGGGGUCUCACUGGAUCCUCAGAGUAACCCUGUGAGGAUCUUUUGGGCUAUUUGGAGUCCCUUGCAAUUCCAUAUGAAUUUUAGGAUCUGCUUUUUUACUUGUGAAGAAAAGGCCAUUGGGAUUUUGAUAAAGAUUGUAUUGAACUAUAGAUUGCUUUGGCCCUUCCUUCCUCUCUGGCCACUGCAUGUGUCAUUCUGACAUGUCUGCUCCUGAAGACAGAGGCCCUGUCUCUCUGGAUGCUUGUCACUGGCCGCCUUCGCCCCUGUGCUUUGAAUAAAUGCUUUGGUGGAGGCAGAGGACAUUGAGUUAAGUCUGCUGGGGAUGGCAGUGGUAUUGGAAAACCUCACAGGGUCUUCUGAAGGUGGUCUUGAAGUUCAAACUGGACACACUCAUCUCCACACCCUCCUACAUCUGUGAGUUUUUGUAUAUCCAAGUGAAGUCAAAUCAGAGACAUCCAUGAAAUGUUUCUGGCUGUCCAGGCACGUGGAGGAAUUGCACUUCCUGGGCUGCAGUGGUUGAGUGGAAUCAUGUCACCAGUCACAGCCAAUGAGUUAUGAGCAGGAAGUGACCUUGCUUUUCCUUUGCCACAGUGGAUGGGAAUAUUCCAAAUAAUGGCCCAUCAACCUGUGUCCUGGAGUGAGGACAAGAUAAAGUAGAAGUCUCAGCCAACCUCAAAUGGGCAUAUUAUGUGUGUGUGUGUGUGAAAAAAUGAAUCUUUGUUGUGUUAAGUCCCUAAGAAUUUAGGGGACUAUUUAUUACUGCAUCAGAGCUUAGCGCUUGCCACAGUGGUUCUUAACCUCUUGGUGUUUUGGGUCCAUUUUCCAACUUGGGAAUUCUUGUUAACAUACUCAAAGGAAUUACAAAUCUCAUAGGACACUAAACAAGUUCACUGUGGGCAUGAGUAACUUCCUACUUCAGCUUUUUUUUUUUUUUUUUACAUCUUCACAAGCACCCAACAGCUAUGACUCUUCAGUUCUGCAUCCUUGGCAUUAGUCAGUGCUCACCCCAUUCCAAAUAAUCACCAUUUCCCUAGAGUUGGCUUGCCACCUGCCAUGCCUCAUUCCCAUUCUCCCAACCACAGUGCACUAUGUUCCACCUGACACGGCGCCAGGAGAGUGUCAUUCUCCAUCCUUACUCACCUGUGACAUGGGAAUAAUGGACACCCAAUACACUUCCAGGCAAUCGAUCCCAGAGAUCACAAGAAAGAAAGGCUCCUAAACCAAGAUAAGGAGGUCAGAUCACACAUGAUCGUGAGGCAAAUGAAAAUACAGAGAUGCAGCAGAUUGGAACACUUAGGACAGGGGUACCAUCCUAUAUCCUGGGUGGGCAACGCUGUCUCUCUCUGCUGCCUCUGCCUUCCUCACUUGACAGUGUGGAUAUGAAACCGCAGUUGAGGUUUGAGGUGCACAGAAGUCUGGAAUGUGCCUGGGGCCAGUGUCACGCUCAUGCUCAAUUGGAGAGGCUCAGAGACAGAGUGCCAGGCCCUGGCUGCCGGUCUUCAAUUAGCCUGGGGAACAGCCGUGGUUAUUUGCAUUUCUUGGACACAUGGGGCCAGAAUGAGUGUUACCAAUGGGUGGCUGAAUAUCGAGUGCCUCAUAUGCCUCAUGUAUAUUUAGCUUAUUAUGAAUAUUUAGUGCCUCAGAUGCCUUAAAUAUAUUUAGUGACUCAUGAAUAUUUCGUGUCUCUUGUAUAUUUAGUACCUCAUGAAUAUUAGGAAUCCCUUGCUCCUUCCAUCUCUCUUUAUUUCUCUUCAGUUCUCUGCUCUGUGUUAUCGGCAUAACAUCUAUCCCUGGU
Bubalus bubalis (water buffalo) is the source of this 2834-nucleotide long non-coding RNA. RefSeq lists it as uncharacterized. Lineage: Eukaryota; Metazoa; Chordata; Mammalia; Artiodactyla; Bovidae. The record is from RefSeq and is a predicted model, not a curated record. The transcript is spliced from 3 exons.